RNAcentral lists this microRNA precursor (59 nucleotides) under Callorhinchus milii (elephant shark). Its description in RNAcentral is "Cmi-Mir-92-P2a_pre stem-loop". Lineage: Eukaryota; Metazoa; Chordata; Chondrichthyes; Chimaeriformes; Callorhinchidae. The record is from RNAcentral.
ACCACUGCGAUCGUGCAAUGCUGUUUCUCUGUUCUGGUAUUGCACUUCAGCAAUGGUGA